ACCCACCCGUUUUUCGUCCUUGGGGUUUUCCUGCGGCUGAAAUCUCUGUCCUUCUGCUUUGAAGGGAGCUCUUUUUUUGUCAGUGUGUGCGAUCCACUGUGUCUCCUGCAAACCAAGUGCUGUCCAUGGUAUAGUGAUGAAUUUGCUGGUGGUGGCUGCUGCCUCUGCAUUUCUGACCAGAGUUUCCGGGACGGAUGUGAAAAAAAUGGCCUCAGGCAUGGAUAUGAUGGAAGGAACGCGGUGAGCAAGGUCCAAUGAGAGAGGGCAGGGAGGUGAAGCCAGGGGCUGCACCUAGUGUUGGGUGGUGGCUGCUCGUCCGUGGUUGGUUUGUGUGUCUCUUGCAGGGUGGCAGAUGGCCAUGCAUUGUGUUGGCGUGUUUGUUGCAGGUCCUUGUUUUCAUUACCUGAAAGAGUAAGGUAAUGGGAGACGUGCGACUGCUCUCCUGGUAAGGUCAUUUAUGCCCACCCUUUCUUCAUGCUGUUUUUCCUGGGGCUGAAAUUUACAUUUCUGGUCUUUGAAGGCAGCUCUUCUGUCAGUGUGUGCAAUCCACUGUGGCUCCUGCAUCCCAAGUGCUGGCCGUGGUACAGUGAUGAAUUUGCUGGUGUUGGCCGCUGUCUCUGCAUUUUUGACCAGGGUUUCCCAGAUGGCUGUCAGAAACACUGCAUCAGGCUUGGAUAUCCUGCAAGUAAUGCGGUGAGCAGCGUGCAUGAGGGAGGGCAGGGCAGUGAAGCCACGGGCGGCCUUUACGGUCAGUUGGUGGCUGCUUCUCCGUGGUUGGUUUGUGUGUCUCUUGCAGCCUGGCAGAUGGGCAUGAGCUGCCGUGUUUGUUGCAAGUCCUUGUCCUCUGCCUGAAAGAGUAAGGAAAUGGGAGACCUGAGCCUUCUCUGAUGGUAAGGUCAUUUAUGCCCACCCGUUUUUCAUCCUCGUGGUUUUCCUGCGGCUGAAAUCUCCGUCCUUCUGCUUUGGAGGGAGCUCUUUUUUUGUCAGUGUGUGCAAUCCACUGUGUCUCCUGCAAACCAAGUGCUGUCCAUGGUAUAGUGAUGAAUUUGCUGGUGGUGGCUGCUGCCUCUGCAUUUCUGACCAGAGUUUCCGGGACGGAUGUGAAAAAAAUGGCCUCAGGCAUGGAUAUGAUGGAAGGAACGCGGUGAGCAAGGUCCAAUGAGAGAGGGCAGGGAGGUGAAGCCCGGGGCUGCACCUAGUGUUGGGUGGUGGCUGCUCGUCCGUGGUUGGUUUGUGUGUCUCUUGCAGGGUGGCAGAUGGCCAUGCAUUGUGUUGGCGUGUUUGUUGCAGGUCCUUGUUUUCAUUACCUGAAAGAGUAAGGUAAUGGGAGACGUGCGACUGCUCUCCUGGUAAGGUCAUUUAUGCCCACCCUUUCUUCAUGCUGUUUUUCCUGGGGCUGAAAUUUACAUUUCUGGUCUUUGAAGGCAGCUCUUCUGUCAGUGUGUGCAAUCCACUGUGGCUCCUGCAUCCCAAGUGCUGGCCGUGGUACAGUGAUGAAUUUGCUGGUGUUGGCCGCUGUCUCUGCAUUUUUGUCCUGAGAUUCCAGGAUGGACGUCAAAAAACUGCAUCAGGCAUGGAUAUCAUGCAAGUAAUGCGGUGAGCAAGGUCCAGUGAGAGAGGGCAGGGUGGUGAAGGCCCUGGCUGCCUUUAGGGAUGGAUGGUAGCUGCUUGUAUGUGGUUGGUUUGUGUGUCUCUUGCAGCCUGGCAGAUGUCCAUGAAUUGACGUGUUUGUUGCAAGUGCUUGUUUUCUGCCGGACAGAGUAAGGUAAUGGGAGACCUGCGGCUGCUACACUGGUAAGGUCAUUUAUGCCCACCCGUUUUUCAUCCUCGUGGUUUUCCUGGGGCUGAAAUCUCCGUCCUUCUGCUUUCGAGGGAGCUCUUUUUUUGUCAGUGUGUGCAAUCCGCUGUGUCUCCUGCAAUCCCAUUACUGUCCCAGAUAGAGUGAUGAAUUUGCUGGUGUUGGCCGCUGUCUCUGCAUUUUUGACCAGGGUUUCCCAGAUGGCUGUCAGAAACACUGCAUCAGGCUUGGAUAUCCUGCAAGUAAUGCGGUGAGCAGCGUGCAUGAGGGAGGGCAGGGCAGUGAAGCCACGGGCGGCCUUUACGGUCAGUUGGUGGCUGCUUCUCCGUGGUUGGUUUGUGUGUCUCUUGCAGCCUGGCAGAUGGGCAUGAGCUGCCGUGUUUGUUGCAAGUCCUUGUCCUCUGCCUGAAAGAGUAAGGAAAUGGGAGACCUGAGCCUUCUCUGAUGGUAAGGUCAUUUAUGCCCACCCGUUUUUCAUCCUCGUGGUUUUCCUGCGGCUGAAAUCUCUGUCCUUCUGCUUUGAAGGGAGCUCUUUUUUUGUCAGUGUGUGCAAUCCACUGUGUCUCCUGCAAACCAAGUGCUGUCCAUGGUAUAGUGAUGAAUUUGCUGGUGGUGGCUGCUGCCUCUGCAUUUCUGACCAGAGUUUCCGGGACGGAUGUGAAAAAAAUGGCCUCAGGCAUGGAUAUGAUGGAAGGAACGCGGUGAGCAAGGUCCAAUGAGAGAGGGCAGGGAGGUGAAGCCAGGGGCUGCACCUAGUGUUGGGUGGUGGCUGCUCGUCCGUGGUUGGUUUGUGUGUCUCUUGCAGGGUGGCAGAUGGCCAUGCAUUGUGUUGGCGUGUUUGUUGCAGGUCCUUGUUUUCAUUACCUGAAAGAGUAAGGUAAUGGGAGACGUGCGAGUGCUCUCCUGGUAAGGUCAUUUAUGCCCACCCUUUCUUCAUGCUGUUUUUCCUGGGGCUGAAAUUUACAUUUCUGGUCUUUGAAGGCAGCUCUUCUGUCAGUGUGUGCAAUCCACUGUGGCUCCUGCAUCCCAAGUGCUGGCCGUGGUACAGUGAUGAAUUUGCUGGUGUUGGCCGCUGUCUCUGCAUUUUUGUCCUGAGAUUCCAGGAUGGACGUCAAAAAACUGCAUCAGGCAUGGAUAUCAUGCAAGUAAUGCGGUGAGCAAGGUCCAGUGAGAGAGGGCAGGGUGGUGAAGGCCCUGGCUGCCUUUAGGGAUGGAUGGUAGCUGCUUGUAUGUGGUUGGUUUGUGUGUCUCUUGCAGCCUGGCAGAUAUCCAUGAAUUGACGUGUUUGUUGCAAGUGCUUGUUUUCUGCCGGACAGAGUAAGGUAAUGGGAGACCUGCGGCUGCUCUCCUGGUAAGGUCAUUUAUACCCACCCGUUUUUCGUCCGUGGGGUUUUCCUGCGGCUGAAAUCUCUGUCCUUCUGCUUUGAAGGGAGCUCUUUUUUUGUCAGUGUGUGCGAUCCACUGUGUCUCCUGCAAACCAAGUGCUGUCCAUGGUAUAGUGAUGAAUUUGCUGGUGGUGGCUGCUGCCUCUGCAUUUCUGACCAGAGUUUCCGGGACGGAUGUGAAAAAAAUGGCCUCAGGCAUGGAUAUGAUGGAAGGAACGCGGUGAGCAAGGUCCAAUGAGAGAGGGCAGGGAGGUGAAGCCAGGGGCUGCACCUAGUGUUGGGUGGUGGCUGCUCGUCCGUGGUUGGUUUGUGUGUCUCUUGCAGGGUGGCAGAUGGCCAUGCAUUGUGUUGGCGUGUUUGUUGCAGGUCCUUGUUUUCAUUACCUGAAAGAGUAAGGUAAUGGGAGACGUGCGACUGCUCUCCUGGUAAGGUCAUUUAUGCCCACCCUUUCUUCAUGCUGUUUUUCCUGGGGCUGAAAUUUACAUUUCUGGUCUUUGAAGGCAGCUCUUCUGUCAGUGUGUGCAAUCCACUGUGGCUCCUGCAUCCCAAGUGCUGGCCGUGGUACAGUGAUGAAUUUGCUGGUGUUGGCCGCUGUCUCUGCAUUUUUGUCCUGAGAUUCCAGGAUGGACGUCAAAAAACUGCAUCAGGCAUGGAUAUCAUGCAAGUAAUGCGGUGAGCAAGGUCCAGUGAGAGAGGGCAGGGUGGUGAAGGCCCUGGCUGCCUUUAGGGAUGGAUGGUAGCUGCUUGUAUGUGGUUGGUUUGUGUGUCUCUUGCAGCCUGGCAGAUGUCCAUGAAUUGACGUGUUUGUUGCAAGUGCUUGUUUUCUGCCGGACAGAGUAAGGUAAUGGGAGACCUGCGGCUGCUCUCCUGGUAAGGUCAUUUAUGCCCACCCGUUUUUCAUCCUCGUGGUUUUCCUGGGGCUGAAAUCUCCGUCCUUCUGCUUUGGAGGGAGCUCUUUUUUUGUCAGUGUGUGCAAUCCACUGUGUCUCCUGCAAUCCCAUUACUGUCCCAGAUAGAGUGAUGAAUUUGCUGGUGUUGGCCGCUGUCUCUGCAUUUUUGACCAGGGUUUCCCAGAUGGCUGUCAGAAACACUGCAUCAGGCUUGGAUAUCCUGCAAGUAAUGCGCCUGGCAGAUGGGCAUGAGCUGCCGUGUUUGUUGCAAGUCCUUGUCCUCUGCCUGAAAGAGUAAGGAAAUGGGAGACCUGAGCCUUCUCUGAUGGUAAGGUCAUUUAUGCCCACCCGUUUUUCAUCCUCGUGGUUUUCCUGCGGCUGAAAUCUCUGUCCUUCUGCUUUGGAGGGAGCUCUUUUUUUGUCAGUGUGUGCAAUCCACUGUGUCUCCUGCAAACCAAGUGCUGUCCAUGGUAUAGUGAUGAAUUUGCUGGUGGUGGCUGCUGCCUCUGCAUUUCUGACCAGAGUUUCCGGGACGGAUGUGAAAAAAAUGGCCUCAGGCAUGGAUAUGAUGGAAGGAACGCGGUGAGCAAGGUCCAAUGAGAGAGGGCAGGGAGGUGAAGCCAGGGGCUGCACCUAGUGUUGGGUGGUGGCUGCUCGUCCGUGGUUGGUUUGUGUGUCUCUUGCAGGGUGGCAGAUGGCCAUGCAUUGUGUUGGCGUGUUUGUUGCAGGUCCUUGUUUUCAUUACCUGAAAGAGUAAGGUAAUGGGAGACGUGCGACUGCUCUCCUGGUAAGGUCA
Long non-coding RNA from Gallus gallus (chicken), 4869 nucleotides. RefSeq lists it as uncharacterized. The record is from RefSeq and is a predicted model, not a curated record. The transcript is spliced from 2 exons. NCBI's taxonomy places the organism in Eukaryota, Metazoa, Chordata, Aves, Galliformes, Phasianidae.